GCUUACACAUGCAGUCGAACGCGAACGUCUUCUUCGGAAGGCUAGUAGAGUGGCGCACGGGUGAGUAACGCGUAGAUAACCUACCCUUAUGUCUGGGAUAACCCACCGAAAGGUGGACUAAUACCGGAUGUGCUUGUUUUUCAUAAGUUUUACAAGCAAAGGUGGCCUCUGAUUUAAGCUACUGCAUGAGGAGGGGUCUGCGUACCAUUAGCUUGUUGGUGGGGUAAUGGCCUACCAAGGCUUCGAUGGUUAGCGGGUCUGAGAGGAUGAUCCGUCACACUGGCACUGAAACACGGGCCAGACUCCUACGGGAGGCAGCAGUGAGGAAUAUUGCGCAAUGGGGGAAACCCUGACGCAGCGACGCCGCGUGAGUGAGGAAGGCUUUCGGGUCGUAAAGCUCUGUCAAGAGGGAAGAAAUGCAUAUUGGUUAAUAUCCAUUAUGUUUGACGGUACCUCUAAAGGAAGCACCGGCUAACUCCGUGCCAGCAGCCGCGGUAAUACGGAGGGUGCAAGCGUUGUUCGGAAUUACUGGGCGUAAUGGGCGCGCAGGCGGUUUGAUUAGUCAGAUGUGAAAGCCCACGGCUCAACCGUGGAAGUGCAUUUGGAACUGUCAGACUUGAGUAUCAGAGGGGAAAGUGGAAUUCCUGGUGUAGAGGUGAAAUUCGUAGAUAUCAGGAGGAAUACCGGUGGCGAAGGCGACUUUCUGGCUGAAUACUGACGCUGAGGCGCGAAAGCGUGGGGAGCAAACAGGAUUAGAUACCCUGGUAGUCCACGCCGUAAACGAUGUCAACUAGAUGUAGGGGUGUUGAUCCCCUCUGUGUCGCAGCUAACGCAUUAAGUUGACCGCCUGGGGAGUACGGUCGCAAGAUUAAAACUCAAAGAAAUUGACGGGGGCCCGCACAGCGGUGGAGUAUGUGGUUUAAUUCGAUGCAACGCGAAGAACCUUACCUG
Molecule: ribosomal RNA, 951 nt
Filed under: Desulfobulbaceae bacterium enrichment culture clone MS_OIL_N15
Lineage: Bacteria; Pseudomonadati; Thermodesulfobacteriota; Desulfobulbia; Desulfobulbales; Desulfobulbaceae
Description: bacterial SSU rRNA
Rfam family: Bacterial small subunit ribosomal RNA
Source: RNAcentral